RNAcentral lists this ribosomal RNA (428 nucleotides) under uncultured bacterium. Its description in RNAcentral is "partial 16S ribosomal RNA". It matches the Rfam family "Bacterial small subunit ribosomal RNA", at positions 354 to 796 of the family's 1533-position model. The record is from RNAcentral.
GUGGGGAAUAUUGCACAAUGGGGGAAACCCUGAUGCAGCGACGCCGCGUGAAGGAAGAAGGCUUUCGGGUUGUAAACUUCUUUUGUCAGGGACGAAAAAAAUGACGGUACCUGACGAAUAAGCCACGGCUAACUACGUGCCAGCAGCCGCGGUAAUACGUAGGUGGCAAGCGUUAUCCGGAUUUACUGGGUGUAAAGGGCGUGUAGGCGGGAAAGCAAGUCAGAUGUGAAAACUAUGGGCUCAACCCAUAGCCUGCAUUUGAAACUGUUUUUCUUGAGUACUGGAGAGGCAGAUGGAAUUCCUAGUGUAGCGGUGAAAUGCGUAGAUAUUAGGAGGAACACCAGUGGCGAAGGCGAUCUGCUGGACAGCAACUGACGCUGAGGCGCGAAAGCGUGGGGAGCAAACAGGAUUAGAAACCCGUGUAGUCC